AAGCCCCUCUCUCCACACCCGGUCCCGCCGGUGGUGUUCCCUGGGCUCUUCGUCCGCGGGCUGUGCCAGGUUCCCCUUGUGCUCCCAGCUGUGGUAGGGGCCCCCGGGAGGGCGCCUUCGCUGGGUAGGCCGGUCGCCUUACUGGAACGUGUUUCUUCGUUGCCAGGUAAAGGAGAUUUUCUGUUCAUCCUUCCGUGGUGGGUCUUUAAAUCCCCCUGUGGUCAGAGAAUGUGCUCUGUUACUCGUACUGGGGUGUGCUCAGUGGCCCACCGCUCGCUUCCCUUCAGACGCUGGUGCCCGUGUGAAUGUGUGCGCAGGCAGAGUGCUGUGGGGUGGCCACGCGUCGCGUCCUGUGCGGGCCUGGAGGUGCAAGUGCUCUGCGUCCUGGCCUUUGGUUCCCGAACCGUCCCAUCGACGUUGAGAGUGCCACGGACGCCGUUCUGGGAGGGUUGCUGUGCUCCCGCCGGUGUGUCCUAAGGUCGGGUCUGCACCUGCAGGCUCCCUCUGUUUCUGGAGGAGUGACUUUCCUCACCAAAGCACCUGUGUCCCCGGUCCUGCUGUGAUGCCGCCACGGUGGCUGCAUCUGGUGACUGUCCCCUCCGGUUGGCUGUCCCCUCCAGGGUCCAGCACACCCUCUGUCUCCUGUUUGCGGCCACAGGCUGCAGUGUGUCUCGGGCGGUUGUCCUGUAGUCUGAAGGUGAUACCGUCUUUAUGAGCCACCGGUCCGGUUCCGUCGAUGCCGACGCUGGUGUGUGUGGUUUAAACGGGCCGCGCGCGUCGUAGGGGCAGUUUGCUUCUCCUGUUUUUUCUCCUUUGUUUCUUUCUCUCGGGUUUCUUCUCACUGUGAUUCCUUCUCCCCAGUUCUGGUUUUGGAAAGUGUUUCUACCUUCGUGAGUAGAGCAGCCCCCUUAGCACAUCGGCACCUGUCGUGAUGUGCCCUGGGGCCAUUGUCGCUGCCGGCAGAGGCUGGAAGCAGGACUUCAGGGGCCCUCCCCUUCCGUGGAACCGCACGACGUCUCCGUGUGACAGAAAGUGUUAGUGUACACUGAGACUCGUCCCCUUCCGUGGAACCGCACGACGUCUCCGUGUGACAGGAUGUGUUCACACUGAGAGUCCCCUUCCGUGGAACCGCACGACGUCUCCGUGUGACAGGAUGUGUUCACACUGAGACUCGUCCCUGCUUGCUUCUCUUUUCCUUUGUCUCUGACCUGCCUGGGUUGGGUCUCCUUCUCCGUGAAGAGUGUCUUUAUGUGUUUACUUUGGGGCUACCGGGGACAGGGUGCGGGUUUUAGUUUGUCGGGCAGUGUUUGCUUCACUGUGCAACGGCCCUUGUGACGUCUCGAGGGAGGGGUUUGCCGAGAGAACCCUGGGGUUACGGCUGUCGCCGUUGGGAGGUCCUGCCGCGCCGCUCCCGUGUUUGCAUCUCCCGUCCCUUCCCCUGAUGGCUCUCGGCGUGGCUCUCGCCUUUGCUUGUGUCCGGCGGCCGCGGGACCUGCCGGGCCUGGCCUCCCCUCCGCGCGUGCCCGGGGUCCUGUUCUCUCCCCCGCGGGGCUGCGCACGGGGGUGGCGAUGUGGCUGGGCCGCCUUCCUGUUCCGUCUUGAACUCUGUUCUCCCGCGCGGCUGCGCCCUCGCAGUCUGAGCGUGUCCCCACUGUCACGUCCCAUAAGCUAGGAUUCGAGCCGUAAGUGUAACCGCGGACCUCUUGGCAGCCACAGUCGCGCAGAUGAAAAGAACCAGGUGAAGUUGAUUUUUAGUACAUUUUAUUUAACCUCAUGUGGGAAAUCACUUCAGUGUUUUCAUCGUGUAACUAGCAUUAAAAAUACUAAUUAAGAUUUUGCCGAUUUCUUUUUGUUCUAAGUCUUCAAAAUGCUGUGUGUGUGACACGUCCACAGCCCCGUUCCAGGCUGGGCACAUAGCGGGUGCUCGGCCGGCGGGUGCUCGGGCAGCCUCUGUGUUGGACGGUGCAGACCCGGGGUGUGUCCGAUCCUGUCCUGGCUGAAGGACAGAGUGGUGCGAGUCGCAGUUCAAGUUGGAACACACAGCGGAGCCCGCACCGAAGUUGAGCGCAGCGCAGGGAGAGGUCCUGGUCUCGGUCCGUUCGAGCGCGCAGGAGGCCAGCGCAGCCGAGGACACACAGUGCCCUGCACACGGGUCGUUGCCGUCCGCGACCCCUCACACCUGUGGGGGGCCGGGUGACAGUGACCCGGCAUGUUUUCUACUUAGAGAUCCUUUCUUUUUAAGAUUUUAUUUAUCGUGUGGGGAGCAGAGAGAGGAGGACGAGCAGACUGGGCUCUGAGCGUGGAGCCCGGUGCGGCGCCCCCAUCCCGGGGCCUGAGGUCUCGGGCUGAGCCG
This is a long non-coding RNA of Mustela erminea (ermine), 2353 nucleotides long. RefSeq lists it as uncharacterized. NCBI's taxonomy places the organism in Eukaryota, Metazoa, Chordata, Mammalia, Carnivora, Mustelidae. The record is from RefSeq and is a predicted model, not a curated record. The transcript has 2 exons.